UCAAACUUGGUCAUUUAGAGGAAGUAAAAGUCGUAACAAGGUUUCCGUAGGUGAACCUGCGGAAGGAUCAUUCACAAUAAGAGUGUUUAUGGCACUCUUUCAAAAAUCCAUACCCACCUUGUGUGCAAUGUAAAAGAGUUUCUUGUUGUUUGGGGAGGUGAAAGCCUCCUGUGGCUGCAAGGACUUUUUCAUUUCAUAUACACCUUUCUAUAAUUUCCUAUUGUCUGAAGUACUUGGAAUAAACAUAAUUCUAAAAUACAACUUUCAACAACGGAUCUCUUGGCUCUCGCAUCGAUGAAGAACGCAGC
RNAcentral lists this unclassified non-coding RNA (308 nucleotides) under uncultured fungus. RNAcentral describes it as "partial contains small subunit ribosomal RNA, internal transcribed spacer 1, and 5.8S ribosomal RNA". The stretch from base 1 to 73 matches the Rfam family "Eukaryotic small subunit ribosomal RNA", at positions 1759 to 1831 of the family's 1831-position model. Lineage: Eukaryota; Fungi. The record is from RNAcentral.